CUUUGAAAAUUAAUAAAUCGAACGGGAGCUCGCGAAGUGCAAUUUAUGGCCAGUUUUACAUGUUUACGUAGAGAAAGUGUGCCACAAAGGGAUAGACCUUAAGGAUACCAUAAAUACGAUGGGUCGGAAGCACGGCGUUCGAAAGGCUGCCGGUGACAGUCGGGUUAAGAAGCAAUCAAAGUUUGCGUCGCUGACUAAUUCGGACGAAGAAGAGUUCUUCGAGAAGGACCUAUAUUUUUCAAGGCAGGACGAUGACGAAAUCGACGAAUUUUACGCAAAGAAAGAUAAAAUCAUGCUGACAGGCCGUCAAAAGGAGUCUGACUCUGAACAGGAACAAGUUUAUGCACUGAGCUCGAAGGAAUUCGAUUCCGAGUCGGAUGAAGAGACCGGAGUACUCUCGUUGGAGCGCGCCAACGAUUUAGUAACGAGGUUUGUCAAAAAAAAGGAAUUAGACUCAGACAUUGAGGAAACCGAUGAUCUAGAUGAUCUACCUGAUGCAAAGGCCUGGGGUCGAAGGCGACUAAACUUCUAUAACACAGAUUUUGUCGAUAAGGAUGUUGGCACACUCUCCGAAAAGGAUAAAGAGGUCGCCCGUAUGGAGGAGGAGGAAGCUCGGGCAAUCCAAAAGCGACUUGCUGAUGAAGUCGACGAAGACGCUUUUGGUCUUGAAAAUCUUCAGGUGCCGAAAUGGGAUGAGAAUGACGACAUGAAAGCCUUUAGAGAAAAACAACAACGUAUAGAGAUUGACCUAAGUAAGCUACCGAGUAAAAAACUGGUCAAAAUGGUAUUAGAAGAGUCCCCUGAACUGCAGGGUCUUCUUGAUGACUGCAAGACAAAGUUACAAGAACUUGACACGGAGAUAGCUCCCAUGCUCAAAUUACGUCAAAAUGGAUGUCUUCCACGAGGAACUUCGGCGGAAAACUACUUGCUUCUUAGGCACAACCUUUUAAUAAUAUAUACGACAAAUAUCUGUUUCUACCUUAGUCUCAAGGCUAAACGGAUAAACAUUAGAAACCAUCCAAUCGUGAAGAGGCUCGUUCAGUUUAAGAAACUUAUUUCAGAACUAGACCGAACAAGAACACAGUUGCUUCCUCAGAUUCAAAAUAUUCUUGAAAAGGCCCAAGAUGGGAAAGAGCUGAAAGUAAAAAAUUUGAUUGGCUCCAAAAAGGUACAGGAGCUCAGCUCCGAUGAAGAACAAGAACACUUUAGCGACAAAAAUGAGGAACAGGAUGAGGGUCUCCAUGGUGCUGUGGAUGACAAUGAGAUUUCAUUUACGAACCUUAUAUCAAGAAAUAGUAAGCUGCUGUUAAGCGAGGCGGAGAAAGAAAUAAUGGCUCUCUACGACACGGCGCUCCCGGCUGUAAAAAAAAUGAAAAAGGACUGUGACGAAUUUGAAUCAGUUGAACAAGCCGGUAAUACGAGAAAUGAACGGCUGGACGAAGCCGCUAUCUUCGGCGAUACUGAUUCAGAAAAUGAUGAGCCGGUUUUUAAAGUUGGUCGUGAAGGUCUCGAUGAUCAAGAUGAACAAAACAGCGUCAAUAACAUGACAAAGGAUAAACCGAAUGACAUGGACGGGGGGGCUGCAGGGGAUGCAGAAGGCGAUGGCGAUAGUCGUCGUGCAAUUAAUUAUCAAAUUGCGAAGAACAAGGGUCUUACACCCCACCGAGCUAAGUACAUGCGAAAUCCAAGGGUCCGGCACAGAAUGAAAUUUCGGAAGGCCAAUAUUCGACGAAGGGGUCAAGUACGCGCUAUGCGUGAUGAAGCACAGCAACGCUACGGGGGAGAGACGUCCGGAAUUAACUUCAGAGUUAUUAAGAGCAUUAAGCUUCAUUAACCAAAAACUAAUUGAACUUAUCGGAUCAGGUCUCACUUCCGAGAACUCGAAAAACGUAGAAGCACCAGAAAACUAUUUUUAUUUGUGGAACAACUUGGAAGAUACGAAGGCUCGCAUAUUUCUCACGAUGAUGCUUCCAAAAACACUACGUCGUCACCCGCAUAUCUAUUGCUGUGGCUAUAUAGAGAAUGAUCCUCGAAUUUAAACCACGAACUGCU
Molecule: RNA transcript, 2052 nt
Organism: Varroa destructor (honeybee mite)
Lineage: Eukaryota; Metazoa; Arthropoda; Arachnida; Mesostigmata; Varroidae
Gene: Sas10
Gene name: UTP3 small subunit processome component Sas10
Source: RefSeq, a predicted model, not a curated record